GGACACUCUGAGCAGUCAGCAGCCCUCUCCUAACAGUACUGGCACCCGAUCUCCCGCUACCAGUCUCCAGAACCUAGUGAAGGAAAUUUCUGUGGUUAUAAGCCACUUAGUCUACAGGGUUUUUGUUAGAGCAGCCCCAACGAACUAAGACAACUUGCUUAUCCUUUCGCCUUAUUUCUCAAUUGGUUGAGAACUCUGGCAGGGAAGGGGCCGUCUUUUGGACCUUCCCAAAAAGCCCAACACGGGGAGGCUUCUUUGAAUGAGGUAUAAUGUCCGGUUAAUAAGCGAGAGCAAUAAUUCAGCACUGGGGACGUGUUUUCUCUCUUCCAUUCACUUAUUCAUCCCACAUUGACGUGCUAAGCACCCACUACAUGCCUGGCACUUCGCUAGGUACCCGUCAAGUAAGGAUGAGCCAUUGACAGUGGGAGCAAAGGGCCUGAUCAAAACUGAACGGAGUUCUCACGUCCGACCUUCCUCCAGGAGAUUGAACAAGAAGGGGGUAGAAGUUCCCGAUCCCCCAGCUGCGCUCAACAUCAGCCUGUUGCAUGUUUUUCAACAUAAAUCAGCCAGAGUUGGUUGCCUUUGCGAGAGAAAAUACCAUCACGACUGGCGGCACAUGGACUGUAAGAAUCAGAACUUUGUGAGGUUAGGAGGAGACUUUCAAAUUUUGGGUCAGGGAGGCUUGGAGGCCUGCUGAUGAAGAGCACGGGCUCUUGAGUCAACCUGUCCUGGAUAUAAAACCUGGCUCUGGGUUUGUUGGUUAUGGACUGAUGUGGGACACCUAACCUAACAUCCCGAGCCUCAGGUCCUCAGGUCCUCAGCUGGGAAUAGAGGGUAACACCAGCACCUAGCUCCCAGGGCUGGUAGUGCGGUGAAGCGCACAACAACCUUUGGCUGUUAUUUUAGUGACCGUUUUCCAAGAUUUCUUCUGAGAAGUCAUACAAAACAGGAAUGUACAUUGCAAAAAAGAUGCUGAGCAGGAAGGCCCUAAAGAAAGCCUUUCUCCAAAGAGGAUGUUUAUUUCAGAGACACACAGGGGGACGCUCAACCAGCUGUCUUCCAGGAAAUCGUCCACAAGCCAGGGCGAGUUCUAAAUUUUAAGUGACCAGCCAAUGUCAAAGGGUUGGAAAGAGAAGAAAACAAACAAGGAUGAUGUAAAAAUCCAACCACAAACUGCAUAAACUCUUAAGGACUCCAAGAUUUCAUGAGAAUCCUGACUUUGGAGGUGUUUCCCAUCUCCAUUAGAAGAAGAAUCAAAAUUAUCAUCCAGCUUCUAUCGGCAGCAGACUGUGAACUUAAUAGGAAAUAUCAGAAACCAAAUCCUGAGGCUCUCUGGGAUCUUGGAAACCGUAAGAUGUAAAUGAUUAAUUCACACUCGGAGUCUCAAGGCCUUUGCACUGAAAAUUUUUUCUGUUGCAAAUGUCCCCCCCCCCC
This 1434-nucleotide long non-coding RNA is filed under the name Vulpes vulpes (red fox). RNAcentral describes it as "lncRNA (ENSVVUG00000022725.1)". Lineage: Eukaryota; Metazoa; Chordata; Mammalia; Carnivora; Canidae. The record is from RNAcentral.